AUUGAACGCUGGCGGCGUGCUUAACACAUGCAAGUCGUGCGGUAACAGGCGUAGCAAUACGUGCUGACGAGCGGCGAACGGGUGCGUAAUACAUGGGAAUCUGCCUUUUAGUGGGGAAUAACCCGGCGAAGCCGGGCUAAUGCCGCAUAAGAUCUUCGGAUGAAAGCGGGGGAGUCGUAAGACCUCGCGCUGAUAGAUGAGCCCA
Molecule: ribosomal RNA, 205 nt
Filed under: uncultured bacterium
Lineage: Bacteria
Description: partial 16S ribosomal RNA
Rfam family: Bacterial small subunit ribosomal RNA
Source: RNAcentral